CCUGCCUGUUACCUGCCAAGCUCUCCAAAUCUGACGCUUGAACCUGCCCUCUCUCCUGCCCUGGUAACUUGACCUGCAUUGUGUUUUGGAACCUUGACUUCUGCCUAGCCCUUAUAGAGGCAAAGCAGACCAGCAUUAUGAAGUUAUUUUAAAGAAUGCCAACCUUCACCAGUGAUUUACAUGUGCUUGAGCUGCCUGACCACAAUGAGCAUUGAAAUGGGCUCAUUAGUUUAACAUUAACAGGACUUCCACCUCAGACGGGUAAUCCAAUCAUCAUGCAGAGCAUCCGGACCAGCUGAGACCCGCCCACAGCCUAUAGACCCCCAGAAACGCUGAGUGUCCGAUGGGCAGGAUAAACCCAGCCUUUAGCCAAGGACUUGUCUCGUUUCACUGUAGUGAAACUAUGCACUCUCAACUCUGGAGACCCACAGCAUCCACACUGUUUAAGGGACUGUGAAGCUGCGCACAUGAAUGAGAAGCAAGUCACAUCGUAAUGAGUGAUAAGAAGCUAAUUCUGACCAAAAGUUGAGCGAUUUUGUAGCGCAUAUUUAGUCAAUGACAUUUACGCACAACAGUGUACAUUUGACAUUUUUGGGGAAGCUUAGCAUCCCUUGUCGUCUUAGAACAAUUGCAACUGGUGUUGCCAUUUCAUUAACAUAA
Molecule: long non-coding RNA, 660 nt
Organism: Corythoichthys intestinalis (scribbled pipefish)
Lineage: Eukaryota; Metazoa; Chordata; Actinopteri; Syngnathiformes; Syngnathidae
Exons: 3
Source: RefSeq, a predicted model, not a curated record